Prionailurus viverrinus (fishing cat) is the source of this 718-nucleotide long non-coding RNA. RefSeq lists it as uncharacterized. Lineage: Eukaryota; Metazoa; Chordata; Mammalia; Carnivora; Felidae. The record is from RefSeq and is a predicted model, not a curated record. The transcript has 3 exons.
CCGGAAGCUGCCCAGCAGGCAGGGGACACAGCGGCUUCGGAGACCUCAGACCCAGCUCAGCGCUCCUACUCCCUGAGGGGCUAAGAGGGGCAGGGGGCUUGGGGACCCUUCCCAGCCUCCCCCAGACUUUGUGACGCUUUUCAGACCCUGAAAAGCCCCAAGCACCCACAACCUCUGGGAACCCAGGGAGGCCAGGCUGUGCCCCCUCCCCUGAAGCCAGGCCCCUCCCCGGAUGAGGAAUCUGGCCUCCCUUCUAGCCUGAACCCCUGCCCUGGAGACUCAAGCUGACCAGUCAGCUGUUCACGCAGCAUAAAUUCUGAGCACCUGCAAGCGGUGAGAAAGCCCCCAGCCAGAGGCCCGCAGGAGCCCGUUGGCUCACAGCCCUCCGACAGCCAGCGGUCCCUCCUGAGCCCCCGCCGCCCACCACAGCCCCUUCUGGAGCCGGCGGGCGUUCUCCCCUUCCUGAAGUCACACUGCGCCAAUCCGUCCCUACACUCGCACAGGCUGUGCAGGCCGGUCGAGGAGCCCGGUCAGGAAGGACUUCCGGGCAGUAAGUGGCCCAGCGGACUCUGGGUCUUGGGUGAGCGCAGGCCCUCACCUCACCUGGCCGGGUGGGUCUGGGUCUGGGGCCCUAAUCGGUGCGGGAGGCGAGGUCGGCGGCAAACGUGGAGCUGGGGCGCCACCUAGUGGCUUCCCACCUCCCCAGCCCAGAGCCCAG